RNAcentral lists this long non-coding RNA (1980 nucleotides) under Nicotiana benthamiana. RNAcentral describes it as "long non-coding RNA (NBEN_LNC002844)". The record is from RNAcentral. Lineage: Eukaryota; Viridiplantae; Streptophyta; Magnoliopsida; Solanales; Solanaceae.
UUGGUCCAUGCACAAAGCAUCUUGGCCAUUUGGGCUUGCCAAGUUGUAUUGAUGGGAGCUAUUGAGGGUUACCGUGUUGCUGGUGGACCUCUUGGUGAGGUUACCGACCCACUCUACCCCGGUGGUAGCUUUGACCCAUUAGGUCUUGCUGAUGACCCAGAGGCUUUUGCUGAGCUCAAGGUGAAGGAGAUUAAAAACGGUAGACUUGCUAUGUUCUCCAUGUUCGGAUUCUUCGUUCAAGCUAUUGUCACCGGAAAAGGUCCAUUAGAGAACCUUGCUGAUCACCUUGCUGACCCCGUUAACAACAACGCCUGGGCCUAUGCCACAAACUUUGUCCCAGGAAAGUAAAGUUCUUAAAGAGUCUCUUUUAGUACCAAAUUGUCUGAUGUCCUUGUGAAACUGAUGUAAAUUACUGGAGAUUAUAUAAGAAUUUUGUUCAAUUGGUUAGUUCUCAGUUACAUUUUCUGUGCUAUCCAUAAAUUAAGUACAAGUUUUAAAAAAAUGAGGUUAAAUAAGGAACUUGGCAUUUCUGAGGUACUAAAACAAAUAUAAUAAUAGUAUCGUAACAACAAUGCGUUCAAAGUUUCAAACAACAGCUUGCAGAGCAGAGGAAACUGAUAUUAAAAUUGAAAAGAGAGGCUAAUAAUUUUCUUCCAAAUAUAUACAAAAUUCUAUGUAUGCCAACAAAAUUUGUAGGCAUUGUUCUGCACUUCUACAUAUAUAUACAACUAUGUUCUUGCCGUUUCUUUGCCCAGAUUAGGGUUUAAAGACACAACUGCCUAGCAAUAUUAUCCUUGUUUGUUCCGAUAUUUUUUGGUUGCUACAGUGAACUAGUGUUAUAGAGAAGAUAUAUUACAACAUUACACAGACACAAUUAGAGUGAAUGAUCGUUAUAUAGAGACAUUCUUGUACAUUCAAGUAUACAAUCUUCACAAAAUUACUUGAAACUUUAAAUAACUAAAUGGACAAUAAGGUGACCAUUUGAGCACAGUGUGUUCUAGGAAAUCAAACAAAUCAGACCAGAGCUCAUUAUGCUUGCCUUUACUGGAGCUGCUAUUUAUCAAAAUUGUGGUCCAGACAUGAGAGAUUGGGAAAUCAUUAUUUCUCAGAUGUUGUAACGUCUCAAAAACAGUAAACAACAUUUUUGUUGGUAUCAGAGAAAUUCACAAACCCAAUAGCCAGAACUAUGAUCCGGGCAACAGAGACAAAUUCUGCAAACUAUACAAGUUAGUGUACGAAAGAGAGAACCUGUCUCCUCUAUCCACAAAAAUGGUUCUUCUUGAGGUAGCUCAAAAGAGUCUGUCUCAUACUCUAAGGACCAGACAACAAUAAAGCAAAUUGCUGAUAAAAAUGGGUUAGUGUGCGUCGAUUAAAUUGCUGGUAAAUGAUCAAACAUUUCCCAAAAACAGUUGGAGGAUAGCUCGUUCAUCUUAUUUAUUAAAUCAGUUUAACCAAGCAGCUUUUCAUUUGUACGAACCUUAGUCUGCUGAUUAUAGCCAUAGACUGAUGCAUAUGCUGUGCAUCAAUAGAAGCCUUCAUCUUGAAUGACGUUCAGCCAUUUUAUCUUCCUCUAUAUCUUUAGUGACAUGUCCGCUGGUUGGCCUACAAAAUAUACAUGUAAAACAUCAAGCCAAGAAUUUGUGUAACAUGAAAGGCAGAGCAAAUAUGAUUUGUUCUAUUCAUUCAAGGACAAUCAUUGUUAAUCAGUCACCCAAAUGGACACAUAUUGAUCAUAGCUAAAACAAUAUUACUCAAAAAAAUUGGCAGAACCUUACAAUAUACAAGACAGAGUGAAUGCUGGUGACAGGCGAAUUCAGAAGAAUAAGCGAAACAAAUAUCUCAAAAACUUUAUUAACCCUUUUGAAAUCUCUUAUACAACCCAUGUGGGAAAACCAUCUAAUUCAAGCGGUGUUACAUGAUUUUGGGUUACAAGUCAACUUUAAUACGGAACUUUGAGUGCGAGAAUCAGCUUGCCUGCUC